Molecule: long non-coding RNA, 1829 nt
Organism: Salvia hispanica
Lineage: Eukaryota; Viridiplantae; Streptophyta; Magnoliopsida; Lamiales; Lamiaceae
Source: RefSeq, a predicted model, not a curated record
CCUCCCUUUUUCAUCUUUUUUUAGGUAGGUUUUGAUCUUCAGCUGAUCUUCGAUCUCUUUAUGUAUAUUCGGCGUUUGUAUUCACCUUUGAUUUUCUGCUGCCUGCUUUUCUAUUUGGCUGAAUCUACGGCCGAUCGAUGAAGAUUUCAUAAAUUUUCUUCUGAUCCCCCGUUUGAAAUUAAGUUCGGCUGAUUUUUGUUUGAUUUUCUGAUUAUCGGAGAGAUCUGUUUCAGCAAUAAGCUGAUUCGGUGCAAUUCGUUCGGGGAUAUCUGCCGAUGGUAACGAUCUUAUCCAUUCAUCAUCUAAAAAACCGGUGAAACUUGAUUUGUAAAACGAGAGAAUUCCAUUCCAAGGUGCGGUUCGCCAUUUGUAUAAAUGAAACUAUAGUUAGUGUUAUGGUCGUAUGUAAAAAAAAGUGUGUGAGUGAUGUUUGAUAGAGAAAAGUAGAGUGGUGUGAGCUGAUCGGCCUUUACCAUGUUGGGUGCGCUCGCAUGGUAGGUCACCACAUAAUAAAAGCUAUUGUUUUGUGUUUAGAGGGGAGAUGGUACGGUGAUUUCAUCGGCUCUCCCCUCUUGUGUGCGGCGUCCUCCGUUUUUUUUCUUCUUCUUCUUCUUCUUCUAUACCCCUAUCCCCUUCCCCAUCAUCUAGUUCAGCACUCAUAACUCGGUAAACAGUUUCGGUAUUUGAUGGAUUUGAAUGGUAACAUUACAUGAUAUAAAUCAACGCAAAUGAACUCCCUGAGGGCUGGGGCCGACGAAUGCACGUCUAAGGUACAAAUUAGCACUCUGCCUCUUUAUGUUAUUAAUUUUCUACUUGUCUUGUAUCCAAUUUAUUCAGUACUUCGGCAAAACUCCCUAAGGCCUCAGGUACAAAUAUGCACUCUUCAACAUCUCUUACUAUCUAAUAUCUAUCAAUACUGUCCUUAACUUAUCUGAUUUACAAAACAUGACUCUGAAAGCAGUUACUCAAGAGGCAAUUAAGUUUCAAAUUUUGAGGCAAUUAAGUUUCAAAUUUUUUAUCCACCGCUUAUCAAUCUAUUUCUGCGCCCCACGCACAUGAAAUCAUGACACUUUUAUACACCAUAACAAUAAGCACAACAAGUGCAUGGUAUCACUGCUGGCUCAUGCCUGCUACCGCAGUUCAUUCUGGCAUUUGUAUCUUUAUAAUUGUUAAUCAAUUAAAUUCUAUCUAUUGUCUCUUUCAGCAUUCCAAUCAAAAUCAAUGACUCGAUGUGUCUUAUCUGUUUAUCUACAAAGUUUACAUUUUUAACAGUAUGGUUUUGGCUAUUGUGCCUUCCAUUCAAAGUCAAAGACUGAAUGGUUGUGUUUGGUUUUGUACAAGGUUGUACAUUGAACAGUAUGGUUUUGGCUAUCUUAAGCUACUUAGUUUUUUUUAUUAUAUUAAGACUGUUGUUGUGGUUUGAUCUGUUGGUUUACCUCUAUUAGUUUUUUAUUUGGAUGGAGUAUAUAGCUUCGAGUUAGUGCCCAUGUAAGGGAAUUCCUUAUGUUGUGAAGGCACGACUUUGUACUUUUGUUAUGUAUUAGCUAUUGUGAACCAUAUUUCUUUUGAGGUUUUGCUACUGUUUCUUAGAGAAGGGCGCAAAUGAAGUUAUGAGAAUUAGUUUCCUAGGCUGAUCCCAUAGUUGGAUAUGGAAUAUGCUGCUACUGCUGAGUGAGCUGCUGAUAUUGAAUGAGCCAUCUCAAGGGUGAUUGGUUGUUUGUGUUCGAGUUUAUGUGCUGCCCAUUGAAUGGAUGAUAUAUCAACUGUGACUUAUUGUAUUUUUGCAAGGUCAUGAUUGUGACAUAGUUUGAAGAUUUUUCUCCCAUCAA